AGAACACCCUGGAUUUUUUCUCAAGUAGACAUAAGCUACCCAUCUUCCCUUUGCACCUAGUGCGGACGAAAGUUUGGCUGUAGAACAUUUUUUAUUAACUUUUCUGUAAUGGUGGUAAAAGGGUGUCCGACCCCAACUUUGGACCUACUUUAAAAAAAAAACUAAUCCGAACAACACCCUGGAUUUUUUUUAUCAAGUAGACAUCAGCUACCCAGCUUUCCUUUGCACCUAGUGCGGACGAAAGUAUUGCUGUAGAACAUUUUUUUAUUGACUUUUCUGUAAGGGUUGGGUAAGGUGUCCGACCCCAACUUUAGACCUACUUUAAAAGAAAAAAAAAUAAGCCGAACAACACCCUGGAUUUUUUCUCAAGUAGACCUCAGCUACCCAGC
This 389-nucleotide long non-coding RNA is filed under the name Mytilus galloprovincialis (Mediterranean mussel). The record is from RNAcentral. Lineage: Eukaryota; Metazoa; Mollusca; Bivalvia; Mytilida; Mytilidae.